GUCUACGGCCUUGCCACCCUGAACAACCCAGAUCCCAUCUGAUCUUGGAAGCUAAGCAGGAUCAGGCCUGGUUAGUACUUGGAUGGGAGACCACCUAGGAAGAUCAGAUGCUGUAGGCA
RNAcentral lists this ribosomal RNA (119 nucleotides) under Pteropus alecto (black flying fox). The record is from RNAcentral. Lineage: Eukaryota; Metazoa; Chordata; Mammalia; Chiroptera; Pteropodidae. RNAcentral also lists the same sequence under 1 other name.